RNAcentral lists this ribosomal RNA (508 nucleotides) under uncultured bacterium. Its description in RNAcentral is "partial 16S ribosomal RNA". The record is from RNAcentral.
GGAGUUAGCCGGUGCUUCUUCUGUGAGUGAUGUCCUUCCUGCCGGCUAUUAACCCGCAGGCCUUCUUCCUCACUGAAAGUGCUUUACAACCCGAAGGCCUUCUUCACACACGCGGCAUGGCUGGAUCAGGGUUGCCCCCAUUGUCCAAUAUUCCCCACUGCUGCCUCCCGUAGGAGUCUGGGCCGUGUCUCAGUCCCAGUGUGGCUGAUCAUCCUCUCAGACCAGCUACGGAUCGUCGCCUUGGUGAGCCGUUACCUCACCAACCAGCUAAUCCGACAUAGGCUCAUCCGAUAGCGCGAGGCCCGAAGGUCCCCCGCUUUCCCCCGUAGGGCCGUAUGCGGUAUUAGCCUGGGUUUCCCCAGGUUAUCCCCCACUACCGGGCAGAUUCCUAUGCAUUACUCACCCGUCCGCCGCUCGCCACCAGGGAGCAAGCUCCCCGUGCUGCCGCUCGACUUGCAUGUGUUAGGCCUGCCGCCAGCGUUCAAUCUGAGCCAGAAUCGAACCCUGA